UGAGUUUGAUCCUGGCUCAGGAUGAACGCUGGCGGCGUGCCUAAUACAUGCAAGUCGAGCGAACGGACGAGAAGCUUGCUUCUCUGAUGUUAGCGGCGGACGGGUGAGUAACACGUGGAUAACCUACCUAUAAGACUGGGAUAACUUCGGGAAACCGGAGCUAAUACCGGAUAAUAUUUUGAACCGCAUGGUUCAAAAGUGAAAGACGGUCUUGCUGUCACUUAUAGAUGGAUCCGCGCUGCAUUAGCUAGUUGGUAAGGUAACGGCUUACCAAGGCAACGAUGCAUAGCCGACCUGAGAGGGUGAUCGGCCACACUGGAACUGAGACACGGUCCAGACUCCUACGGGAGGCAGCAGUAGGGAAUCUUCCGCAAUGGGCGAAAGCCUGACGGAGCAACGCCGCGUGAGUGAUGAAGGUCUUCGGAUCGUAAAACUCUGUUAUUAGGGAAGAACAUAUGUGUAAGUAACUGUGCACAUCUUGACGGUACCUAAUCAGAAAGCCACGGCUAACUACGUGCCAGCAGCCGCGGUAAUACGUAGGUGGCAAGCGUUAUCCGGAAUUAUUGGGCGUAAAGCGCGCGUAGGCGGUUUUUUAAGUCUGAUGUGAAAGCCCACGGCUCAACCGUGGAGGGUCAUUGGAAACUGGAAAACUUGAGUGCAGAAGAGGAAAGUGGAAUUCCAUGUGUAGCGGUGAAAUGCGCAGAGAUAUGGAGGAACACCAGUGGCGAAGGCGACUUUCUGGUCUGUAACUGACGCUGAUGUGCGAAAGCGUGGGGAUCAAACAGGAUUAGAUACCCUGGUAGUCCACGCCGUAAACGAUGAGUGCUAAGUGUUAGGGGGUUUCCGCCCCUUAGUGCUGCAGCUAACGCAUUAAGCACUCCGCCUGGGGAGUACGACCGCAAGGUUGAAACUCAAAGGAAUUGACGGGGACCCGCACAAGCGGUGGAGCAUGUGGUUUAAUUCGAAGCAACGCGAAGAACCUUACCAAAUCUUGACAUCCUUUGACAACUCUAGAGAUAGAGCCUUCCCCUUCGGGGGACAAAGUGACAGGUGGUGCAUGGUUGUCGUCAGCUCGUGUCGUGAGAUGUUGGGUUAAGUCCCGCAACGAGCGCAACCCUUAAGCUUAGUUGCCAUCAUUAAGUUGGGCACUCUAAGUUGACUGCCGGUGACAAACCGGAGGAAGGUGGGGAUGACGUCAAAUCAUCAUGCCCCUUAUGAUUUGGGCUACACACGUGCUACAAUGGACAAUACAAAGGGCAGCGAAACCGCGAGGUCAAGCAAAUCCCAUAAAGUUGUUCUCAGUUCGGAUUGUAGUCUGCAACUCGACUACAUGAAGCUGGAAUCGCUAGUAAUCGUAGAUCAGCAUGCUACGGUGAAUACGUUCCCGGGUCUUGUACACACCGCCCGUCACACCACGAGAGUUUGUAACACCCGAAGCCGGUGGAGUAACCUUUUAGGAGCUAGCC
RNAcentral lists this ribosomal RNA (1466 nucleotides) under Staphylococcus aureus. RNAcentral's name for it is "bacterial SSU rRNA". It matches the Rfam family "Bacterial small subunit ribosomal RNA". The record is from RNAcentral. Lineage: Bacteria; Bacillati; Bacillota; Bacilli; Caryophanales; Staphylococcaceae.